Molecule: long non-coding RNA, 325 nt
Filed under: Salmo salar (Atlantic salmon)
Lineage: Eukaryota; Metazoa; Chordata; Actinopteri; Salmoniformes; Salmonidae
Description: lncRNA (ENSSSAG00000118488.1)
Source: RNAcentral
CAGAACAUGUAUGGGCUUGCCUCAGUUCCAACUCAGCAAUAGUGCAGAUAUUAAUUUCCAUUGUAUUUGAUUGGUGUGGCUCGGACAUAAGGAGGACCUUCUGUAACGGUUAAAUGAAGCAAAGCCUUCAUGGUGUAACAACAACAAGCCAUGUAAAUAGGUACGAGAGGGCUGGAGUUUGAAAAUGAGGGAGCACUGGGAAAGGAACGCCAGGAAGGUAACAGGAUCGCCUGCAUAACCCCCCGGAGGAGGUAAGCAGGGUUUUCGGGGAGCCGGGGUAGGUUGAACAAAUCCACUAGUAGCAGAAAGGUUACUGGGUGGUUGG